Non-coding RNA from Paramuricea clavata, 653 nucleotides. The record is from the annotation of a GenBank genome assembly. NCBI's taxonomy places the organism in Eukaryota, Metazoa, Cnidaria, Anthozoa, Malacalcyonacea, Plexauridae.
AUCAAUUUUUUUCAAUGCAACUCGAACAAAAUGUGAGAAGGCAUGUAUAAAACAAUUAAUUGAACUAAAACAGCAGACCCCCUCCCCGCCUUCAUAAACUGUUUAAUAUUUUAUGAACCCCCCUUUUUCCUUGCUAAAAAAUAUGUGACCCCGCUAUUUCCACCUCCCCACCCCUCCUGCUAAAUUAUGACCAGUCCCUAAUGUAAUAAUUUUAGUUUUGAAUUUGACGUAGAUCAUAGAUCUUAGAUUUUUUUAAUAAUUUGAUAUAAUCACGUAAGAUAUAUUAUAAAUAGUAGUGAAGGAUGAAUAUAAAUAAAAAAGACCCUUUUUCCUCCGCAUCUUAUUAGCGCUGGAUUAAACUUUUCUGGGGCGCCGGAUGUAAAAAUAUUGGGACUGGUUCCAAAGAACCUGCUGAAGGAUUUUUUUAGCUAGCGUCCACUCUAAAAUAAAUGUUAUUGGCGUUCAGCCUAAAUAGGUCUCGUAUUUUCGAUUAUCACUUCGUCAAACGUUUUGUCCUAAAUUUCCUUGCAGAAGCCCUGGGCAUGAGGUUACCGUAUUUCCUCUAUUUAGCCCCCGACCUUUUUAUCCCUCCAAUUAUCCCCCUUCCUCUCCAAUUAACCCCCAGUCCAAAAGUGCUGAAAAAAUAAGCCCCC